This 87-nucleotide non-coding RNA is filed under the name Bacillota bacterium. Its description in RNAcentral is "Firmicutes bacterium c-di-GMP sequence". It matches the Rfam family "c-di-GMP-I riboswitch aptamer". Rfam says of the family: GEMM was predicted in a large-scale screen for bacterial structured RNA regulatory elements. Genes associated with GEMM are involved in a diverse array of functions, including chemotaxis regulation, signal transduction, secretion and chitin. Lineage: Bacteria; Bacillati; Bacillota. The record is from RNAcentral.
AAUUAAUUUGGGCAAAGCCACCGAAAGGUGGUGACGCAAAACUAUAGGGGCUAAAGUUUAAAAGAACCAUGCCUGCCAGUUGCCGCU